Small nuclear RNA from Peromyscus maniculatus bairdii (prairie deer mouse), 107 nucleotides. Lineage: Eukaryota; Metazoa; Chordata; Mammalia; Rodentia; Cricetidae. The record is from Ensembl.
CCUACAUGCUGGGUGCAGCACAGACUGAAACUGGAAUGAUACACAGAAGAUCAACACAGCCCCUGUGCAAUGAUGACAUUUCCAUCUGUGAAGCAUUCCGUAUUUUC